AGCUUGCUCCUCUGACGUUAGCGGCGGACGGGUGAGUAACACGUGGAUAACCUACCUAUAAGACUGGGAUAACUUCGGGAAACCGGAGCUAAUACCGGAUAAUAUAUUGAACCGCAUGGUUCAAUAGUGAAAGACGGUUUUGCUGUCACUUAUAGAUGGAUCCGCGCCGCNNUAGCUAGUUGGUAAGGUAACGGCUUACCAAGGCAACGAUGCGUAGCCUACCUGAGAGGGUGAUCGGCCACACUGGAACUGAGACACGGUCCAGACUCCUACGGGAGGCAGCAGUAGGGAAUCUUCCGCAAUGGGCGAAAGCCUGACGGAGCAGCGCCACGUGAGUGAUGAAGGUCUUCGGAUCGUAAAACUCUGUUAUUAGGGAAGAACAAAUGUGUAAGUAACUAUGCACGUCUUGACGGUGCCUAAUCAGAAAGCCACGGCUAACUACGUGCCAGCAGCCGCGGUAAUACGUAGGUGGCAAGCGUUAUCCGGAAUUAUUGGGCGUAAAGCGCGCGUAGGCAGUUUUUUAAGUCUGAUGUGAAAGCCCACGGCUCAACCGUGGAGGGUCAUUGGAAACUGGAAAACUUGAGUGCAGAAGAGGAAAGUGGAAUUCCAUGUGUAGCGGUGAAAUGCGCAGAGAUCUGGAGGAACACCAGUGGCGAAUGCGACUUUCUGGUCUGUGACUGACGCUCAUGUGCGAU
This 695-nucleotide ribosomal RNA is filed under the name Staphylococcus epidermidis. RNAcentral describes it as "bacterial SSU rRNA". It matches the Rfam family "Bacterial small subunit ribosomal RNA", at positions 77 to 757 of the family's 1533-position model. Lineage: Bacteria; Bacillati; Bacillota; Bacilli; Caryophanales; Staphylococcaceae. The record is from RNAcentral.